Molecule: ribosomal RNA, 879 nt
Filed under: Triticum aestivum (bread wheat)
Lineage: Eukaryota; Viridiplantae; Streptophyta; Magnoliopsida; Poales; Poaceae
Description: partial small subunit ribosomal RNA
Source: RNAcentral
UUUAUGGGGAGUUUAGCUGGUUCAGGUAUUGGCUGGACACGGUCGGCGGCGGGAAGGGUAGGGAUAGGGGAGCAGGCGCGAGAGUUGGGUGCGGGACGGCGGCAGCGGCGGCAUAAGCGAGAGGUGGGUGCCAUGACGACAACAGCGGCGGCAGGAGCGCGAGACAGGCUCUAGGUCGGCGGCAGGAGCGCGAGGCGGGCUCUAGGUCGUCGGCAAUAGCGCGAGGCGGGCUCUAGGUCGGCGGCAGGAGCGCGAGGCGGCCUCUAGAUCGGCGGCAGGAGCGCGAGACGGACUCUAGGUCGGCGGCAGGAGUACGAGUCCCUAGUUGGGGGAGGGAACUAGGGGUAGGAGGGCGGGGGUUGAAGCAGGCGGUAGAAGGAGCGCGAAGAGGGGACAGCUGGGGCGGGGCCCGGGGUCGGGACGGUGCUCGAGAGGUGGGCACGAGGGGCAAGGACGACGGCGGCUAUCUCUAGGUAGGUGCUCGAGAGGUAUGGCGACGCGGGGAGGACUUCGGUCGGCAGACAACGACGUCUAGAGGCGUGUCUGAGCAGAAAAGGUUAUCCUUCGCCACCCACUGCCUUACAGUUCCGCAGACCAGUCUACUGGACCCAGGCACCGCUCAACCACCUAGAGCUGAUGUCCUUGUAGUAUCUCCGUUACUAUAAUCUAAACUUGUUCUUAGAUAUUUCCGGAGAUUCCCUCGUCUCCUUUCUUUUCUUUUGCGGACUAUCACAUCUCACGUGAAGCCGUCAUUCCAGUUGUGCUCUGAUGAGUACUUUGCGGAGGUAGUCCUCCGUUUUUAUAUGUCUAUGCUUCUAACGUACGGCCCUUCGAAAGAAGAUAAAUCCUGAAUUCUAUGAGCUGAGAGAUUCAAGUCUU